GUCAGCGCAUUCAGCAGCACCCAGGGCGAAGCCUCCACCGUCCCCAAUCCACCAGGUGCCAAUCACUGGCGUGGGCUGUAAGUGCUGAGAAUGUCGCCCCAACACCCCGAUGCACCUGGAAAGCAGACACAGGCAGACGUGAACGAAAGGGACCAGGAAGGAAGGAGGGUCAGGACAAGGGGACACAAGUUCUGUCCCGCAAAGUUCUGAUUGGCCACUGCAAGCAGCAAAGUGACAUCCGAGCUGGCCAUGGAUUUAUGAAAGUGAAUGCUAGAGCGUGUUCCCGGAAAGAACUCUGAUCCACAGAAUUCCUGCCAGAAACCUGAUCCGAAGAGUUAACCCUUAUCCAAUCAAUGAACAGAAGCAACAGAACGUAGCCAAAUGCAGCCAGUCAUAAUUCCUACUGGAUUUCUGAUCUCAGUUCCUCAGGACAAGCUCCUGCCAAUAAGCCACAGGCCAAGAACGAUCCAGUAGCGCUCAAAUAACAAAUACAGGGACACAAGCUUGUGGACUGGAACGAUCCUCCCGAUGCUGCUGCCGUGGAUGGGCACGUUACA
Long non-coding RNA from Mauremys reevesii (Reeves's turtle), 557 nucleotides. RefSeq lists it as uncharacterized. Lineage: Eukaryota; Metazoa; Chordata; Testudines; Geoemydidae. The record is from RefSeq and is a predicted model, not a curated record. The transcript is spliced from 3 exons.